CAUGAUGUUCUUCAUGAUAGCGUCGUGGAUUCGGCGUGAUUGACGGCGGUUCGUGGAUUCGGAUCGUAAGCUUCGUGGAUUCGUAGUGGAGGUGUUUCGUGGAUUCGGAACGUGGCGUUUCGUGGAUUCGGAACGUGGCGUUCAUGGAUUUGAACGUGAGGGCGUGGACAACCCGGAGGAUUGCGCGAGAUUCAUAGGAAGUUAAGAGAGGUUGAGUCCGUGGAGUCGGUAAUCACCUUGUAAUCUUUUCUCUUAGUGAAUUAUUUUUUCGCGUGUUGGU
RNAcentral lists this long non-coding RNA (280 nucleotides) under Ananas comosus (pineapple). Its description in RNAcentral is "long non-coding RNA (ACOM_LNC010300)". Lineage: Eukaryota; Viridiplantae; Streptophyta; Magnoliopsida; Poales; Bromeliaceae. The record is from RNAcentral.